RNAcentral lists this ribosomal RNA (253 nucleotides) under uncultured bacterium. Its description in RNAcentral is "partial 16S ribosomal RNA". It matches the Rfam family "Bacterial small subunit ribosomal RNA", at positions 524 to 776 of the family's 1533-position model. The record is from RNAcentral.
UACAGAGACUGCAAGCGUUAUUCGGAUUCACUGGGCGUAAAGGGUGCGCAGGCGGCCAGGUGUGUUAGGCGUGAAAGCCCGGGGCUUAACCCCGGAAUUGCACCUAAAACUACUUGGCUAGAGCAUUGGAGAGGGUAGCGGAAUUCACGGUGUAGCAGUGAAAUGCGUGGAUAUCGUGAGGAACACCAGAGGCGAAGGCGGCUACCUGGACAAUUGCUGACGCUCAGGCACGAAAGCGUGGGGAGCAAAAGGG